GGUGACAUGGCCGAGCGGUCUAAGGCGCUAGAAUCAGGUUAUCUUCAUUCGAGAGGAAUGUUUGAAUCUAGUCUUUCGGGGCGUGAGUUCGAAUCUCACUGUCGUCA
Molecule: non-coding RNA, 107 nt
Organism: Termitomyces sp. Mi166#008
Lineage: Eukaryota; Fungi; Basidiomycota; Agaricomycetes; Agaricales; Lyophyllaceae
Source: the annotation of a GenBank genome assembly